GAAUUUUAGGGCGUCUUACUUCGGUAAGGGCCUGACCUCCACUCUCUAACACUGUGCACUCAUUGGCAGGAAAGAAAUAAGGAGAGUAUUUAUACUUGGAAUACGAUUUCCUGCGGCUCACUUUUAAACACCAGUCAAAGUAUGUAUAUAAAUAAAAUAAGAAAAACUUUCAACAACGGAUCUCUUGGCUCU
Molecule: unclassified non-coding RNA, 192 nt
Filed under: rhizosphere metagenome
Description: partial ribosomal RNA internal transcribed spacer region
Source: RNAcentral